Molecule: unclassified non-coding RNA, 352 nt
Filed under: uncultured Ascomycota
Lineage: Eukaryota; Fungi; Ascomycota
Description: sequence contains ITS1
Rfam family: 5.8S ribosomal RNA (bases 1-105)
Source: RNAcentral
GAAAUGCGAUAAGUAAUGUGAAUUGCAGAAUUCAGUGAAUCAUCGAAUCUUUGAACGCACAUUGCGCCCUCUGGUAUUCCGGAGGGCAUGCCUGUUCGAGCGUCAUCAACACCUCUCCCCCGCCGCCUUGCGAGGCCGGUCGGGGGGUCAUGGCGGGCGCGAGGGGCUCAAACCCCCCUCGGGCCGCUCAAAUUCCUGUCUGCAGGGUCAGGUCGCAGCCCCCCCGACGUAGUGGUAUAACAGCCCGUCGGUUGGAGGCCGCCCGCAACCCGAGACGUUAAGCGCACCCCCAUCGGGGCGCCGAAUACACAUGGUUGACCUCGGAUCAGGUAGGGAUACCCGCUGAACUUAA